GAGAUGUUGCUGGGGCCAGGCUGGGCUGGGAUUCUGUUUGCUUUGCUUAGGAGAUGGUGGGGCAAUCAGAGAUCAGGGGCCUGUGAGCUGCUGUGAGAAGGGAAGGAGGGGCUUGGGAUUUGGGCCCAGGAAUUCCCAUCAGGAAUGAAACACUUUCCACCUGCUGCCACCUAAAGCGCCUAACUCCGUCAUGGAAUUUGCGUGCAGACAGUUAGAUCGGACUUUGGAAACAGAGGAUGAAUAAUGAGUUUCCUUCUUUCUGUUCACAGAGGCCAGCCAAGAGCCAGAGCUGGAGCCAGGCCUCUGGUCGUAAACUAAACAACAGAACCAGUUAUUGGUUUCAAGUCUGACUGCCUCCUCUUGUAAGGACUUUGGAACUUGGAGAAGCUCCCUUACCCUUUAUAAGCCAGCAGAAAGAAGUAUGAUUGUCAAGACCCCAGACAGAAUGGCAGGUAAAAGAAACAGCUGCUGUUAUCCAGAGUAAAUCAGUCACAAAGAAACCUGCUCCUCAUUCUGUCUCCUGGUUUCCCAUAAAUGCCUGAAGCCCAGCCUUGGAGUUGGAGGCUUUCCUAUAGAGAUAGAGCUUAUCAACUGGUGAUCUUCACUGUAAGAUGAUUGAGUGAGAACCUGGCUAAUUCAUUGGGGACCCCAAAAUGACAUUAUCUAUGGGUCUUUUCUUUGAGAGCAGUUCCAGUCUCCUCAGAGAUGAAUUCUCCAGUUUCUUGCCUGGAAAAUAUAUACCUGACUGCUGGUGUUCUUGGAACCAAUGUUUUUGGAGUGUAGGAAAAGGGACCUUAUUGUAGACUUUCAUUUAGUGCCCCUAUUUUCAAUAGAAUGCCCAUUCCCUAUUUUUAACUCUAUCUGGGGCAUCUGGGUCUGGGGCUUCUGUGGAUCAAUUUAGUUUGAAUAAACUUCCAAUCUCCUGCCAGAGUAGGGAAAAGGUAUUUUCCUGGCUGAGCAGGUUGAGGGAGGAGAACUAAGAGUGGUCUAGCUGCUUUUCUCGCACACAUGCAACCAAAUCCUCUGCUUUUGGCCUCUUGACACACCCCUGCUUUCUUUGGUCACUGGUGUCUCUAAUUUCUGAGCUUCCCAGGCAUUCCACAGCAUGAAUUGUCUUGCUUCUCAUUUUGCAGCCCCCACUCUGCAGACAUUUGCUCUUCAGUCCCUUCAGCUCUGCUAACCUGCAUCUACUUUCUAUCUUCCAAAAACGUCUUGGCAUAUCUAGUCUUCUGCUGCCUUCAUUACCGUUCUCUCUGUCUUUGUGGGAUUUUACCCCUUAAAAAACUAAUUUCUCUUCAUUUUAGCAUAGUUUUAGAAGAGAUAAUAGAUAAACAUGUAUUUAAUGUCAUAUUUAAUUGGAAGUCCUCCAAUUGUAUUUAUUAAAAUGAAAAAUUCACAUGCUCCUUGACUUGGAAAUCUCACUUAUGAUAAUUUAACUGUCAGAAAUAAAAGUGCCAGUAUUGUAUAGGUAAGUUUACAAGAGUGUUUACUGCAAUAGUAAUAGCAACAAUCAGAGUGUCCGCUGAUAAGGAACAGUUAUGUAAAUUAUGGUGUAUUUAUACUAUGGACUACUCUCCAAUCAUUAAAAGGAAUAAGGCAUAUUGACUUGGAAAGCCAUCCAUGAUAUAUUGCUGAGUAAAAGAGAAGGCUAUAGUAACCCCAUGUUUGUGAAAGAAAGUGAACUAGUAUUAUAUGUUUAUAUGUUUGUAUACAUAAAGAAUAAAGUGUGUAAGGAGUCAUACUAGAUUUUUAACAGUGAUUACAUUGGGGGAUGGCUUUGGAUGGGGAGUGGAAGAAUAUAUCAAUUUAACUUUAGAAACUUUUUUAUUGUCUUUGAAGUGUUUCAGUUAACCUGUGUUGCUUUUGUUAUUCAAACGCCAAAAUAAACAUGCUUAAAAAAAGUUGUAGAUGCAAGAAUGUUCACUGCAGCAUUAUUUAUGAUGGUGAAAAAUUGGAAAAUAAUAUAAAUGUCUGACAAUAAAGACUGGUUAAUACAUUUGAAAUAUCUAUAUGGCAGAAUAUUAGGAGCCUAUUAUAAUGAUCUUUUAGACAAAUUUUAAUGUUGUGGUAAAAUGGUCAUGAAUAAUGCAAGGUGAGAAAAGUAGAAUACGAAAUCGUAUAUACUUUGUAAUUCCAAUGUUGUAAUUAAAAUGUA
This is a long non-coding RNA of Equus asinus (donkey), 2155 nucleotides long. The record is from Ensembl. Lineage: Eukaryota; Metazoa; Chordata; Mammalia; Perissodactyla; Equidae.